CAGCCUAUAAUAACCGUGCUAAAGUAUGACAGUUCAAUAUUGAAUUGAGCAUAUUGUGCAGGUUUAAAAGUUACCCCGAUUGGCGGAAUCCCAUCCUGGGCACCAGGUGGAUGUAUACUUGAAUGAUCGCUGUCCCGGUUGAGCAAUCUGAUCCUUCGGCACCAGAUGAAUGUACACUUGAAUGAUCGCUACGAAAUCUUUCACUUUCUGCAACUCCUAUAAAUAU
RNAcentral lists this long non-coding RNA (226 nucleotides) under Daucus carota (carrot). RNAcentral describes it as "long non-coding RNA (DCAR_LNC005745)". The record is from RNAcentral. Lineage: Eukaryota; Viridiplantae; Streptophyta; Magnoliopsida; Apiales; Apiaceae.